RNAcentral lists this ribosomal RNA (446 nucleotides) under uncultured bacterium. RNAcentral describes it as "partial 16S ribosomal RNA". It matches the Rfam family "Bacterial small subunit ribosomal RNA", at positions 330 to 792 of the family's 1533-position model. The record is from RNAcentral.
GCCAGACUCCUACGGGAGGCAGCAGCGGGGAAUAUUGCACAAUGGGGGAAACCCUGAUGCAGCGACGCCGCGUGAGUGAAGAAGUAUUUCGGUAUGUAAAGCUCUAUCAGCAGGAACGAGACAAGACGGUACCUGACUAAGAAGCCCCGGCUAACUACGUGCCAGCAGCCGCGGUAAUACGUAGGGGGCAAACGUUAUCCGGAAUCACUGGGUGUAAAGGGAGCGUAGACGGCUGUGCAAGCCUGAAGUGAAAGGCGGGGGCCCAACCCCUGGACUGCUUUGGGAACUGUACGGCUGGAGUGCAGGAGAGGUAAGUGGAAUUCCUAGUGUAGCGGUGAAAUGCGUAGAUAUUAGGAGGAACACCAGUGGCGAAGGCGGCUUACUGGACUGUAACUGACGUUGAGGCUCGAAAGCGUGGGGAGCAAACAGGAUUAGAUACCCGUGUA